AAAACUUUCAACAACGGAUCUCUUGGUUCUCGCAUCGAUGAAGAGCGCAGCGAAAUGCGAUACCUAGUGUGAAUUGCAGCCAUCGUGAAUCAUCGAGUUCUUGAACGCACAUUGCGCCCCUCGGCAUUCCGGGGGGCAUGCCUGUUUGAGCGUCGU
RNAcentral lists this ribosomal RNA (156 nucleotides) under Pichia kudriavzevii. RNAcentral describes it as "5.8S ribosomal RNA". It matches the Rfam family "5.8S ribosomal RNA". From Rfam's summary of the family: 5.8S ribosomal RNA (5.8S rRNA) is a component of the large subunit of the eukaryotic ribosome. It is transcribed by RNA polymerase I as part of the 45S precursor that also contains 18S and 28S rRNA. Functionally, it is thought that 5.8S rRNA may be involved in ribosome translocation. Lineage: Eukaryota; Fungi; Ascomycota; Pichiomycetes; Pichiales; Pichiaceae. The record is from RNAcentral.